This 484-nucleotide ribosomal RNA is filed under the name uncultured bacterium. Its description in RNAcentral is "partial 16S ribosomal RNA". It matches the Rfam family "Bacterial small subunit ribosomal RNA", at positions 30 to 507 of the family's 1533-position model. The record is from RNAcentral.
AUUGAACGCUGGCGGCAGGCCUAACACAUGCAAGUCGAGCGGAUGAAGGGAGCUUGCUCCUGGAUUCAGCGGCGGACGGGUGAGUAAUGCCUAGGAAUCUGCCUGGUAGUGGGGGAUAACGUCCGGAAACGGGCGCUAAUACCGCAUACGUCCUGAGGGAGAAAGUGGGGGAUCUUCGGACCUCACGCUAUCAGAUGAGCCUAGGUCGGAUUAGCUAGUUGGUGGGGUAAAGGCCUACCAAGGCGACGAUCCGUAACUGGUCUGAGAGGAUGAUCAGUCACACUGGAACUGAGACAAGGUACAGAAUACUACGGGAGGCAGCAGUGGGGAAUAUUGGACAAUGGGCGAAAGCAUGAUCAAGCCAUGCCGCGUGUGUGAAGAAGGUCUUCGGAUUGUAAAGCACUUUAAGUUGGGAGGAAGGGCAGUAAGUUAAUACCUUGCUGUUUUGACGUUACCAACAGAAUAAGCACCGGCUAACUUCGUG